Molecule: long non-coding RNA, 379 nt
Filed under: Prunus persica (peach)
Lineage: Eukaryota; Viridiplantae; Streptophyta; Magnoliopsida; Rosales; Rosaceae
Description: long non-coding RNA (PPER_LNC008005)
Source: RNAcentral
GCUUUUUGGAGAAGCAUCUCAUCAAACAAAGCGUCAACCUUGGUUAAAUCGAAAGAAUAGACCUUGUUCUGUGUUGGUUUGUUCGGAACAAAUCCUCCUGUAAAUGGUGGGGGCUUCUGAUCCUUUGGUGGUUUUGUCAGAGCUUUGCAGAUGAUAGUCUGUUUUAAUUUUACCAUUUCUGCCACUGCAACUUCCCUCUCUUAUGAGCUUUCUGUACCUUCUUCUGUCUCGACUUCAACCAAAUGUACUGAGAAAGAUGGUGUCUUGUAAUACGUGCCUUUUGAGGAAUUUCUCUUCUGUUGUUCUUCCCUGAGCAACUCCUCAUAUUUAGAAGCCUUGUCUGCCAAUUCUGCCAAAUCAUCAAAUAACAUCAAAUCUC